Molecule: ribosomal RNA, 300 nt
Filed under: uncultured bacterium
Lineage: Bacteria
Description: bacterial SSU rRNA
Rfam family: Bacterial small subunit ribosomal RNA
Source: RNAcentral
GAUGAACGCUAGCGGCAGGCUUAAUACAUGCAAGUCGAGGGGCAGCAGUCCCGCAGCAAUGCGGGAGCUGGCGACCGGCAAACGGGUGCGGAACACGUACAGAACCUUCCUUCGAGCGGGGAAUAGCCCAGAGAAAUUUGGAUUAAUACCCCAUAGCAUUACGAAGUGGCAUCACUUUAUAAUUAAAGAUUUAUCACUCGAAGAUGGCUGUGCGGCUGANAGGUAGUUGGCGGAGUAACGGCCCACCAAGCCUUCGAUCAGUAACUGGUGUGAGAGCACGACCAGUCACACGGGCACUGA